Molecule: ribosomal RNA, 334 nt
Filed under: uncultured bacterium
Lineage: Bacteria
Description: bacterial SSU rRNA
Rfam family: Bacterial small subunit ribosomal RNA
Source: RNAcentral
CACGUAGAUGGCUUUGUAAGUCGGAUGUGAAAUCCCCGGGCUCAACCUGGGAACUGCAUUCGAAACUGCAUUGCUCGAAUGUGGAAGAGGGAAGCGGAAUUCCAGGUGUAGCGGUGAAAUGCGUAGAUAUCUGGAGGAACAUCAGUGGCGAAGGCGGCUUCCUGGUCCAACAUUGACAUUCAGGUGCGAAAGCGUGGGGAGCAAACAGGAUUAGAUACCCUGGUAGUCCACGCCAUAAACGAUGAGAACUAGAUGUCGGGAGGGUUAGCCUUCGGUGUCGCAGCUAACGCGUUAAGUUCCUCCGCCGUGGGGAGUACGGCCGCUAAGGUUAGAA